RNAcentral lists this long non-coding RNA (318 nucleotides) under Homo sapiens (human). RNAcentral describes it as "non-protein coding lnc-NPBWR1-3:1". The record is from RNAcentral. Lineage: Eukaryota; Metazoa; Chordata; Mammalia; Primates; Hominidae.
UAAACUAAUGCAAUAAUUCAAUGAAGAUAUGGUAAUAGAGGUACAAUAGAAGUUCAAAAUAAAUAAGAAACAUGUUAGACAGGUUUGUGAAAUUCUUCAACUAUGGUAUCUGAUAGGAGUGAUGCUGAACAAGGCAGAUGUUACCGACUAGAUGUUAAAAGAAGAUUAAUUAAAAUGAGAAAAUGUCUUAGACCAGAAAAACUGAUGAAUUCGAUGAACCAAAGAGAAAUAAGCAUGCAACAUGAACAGCCAGAAGAAAGUUUUCAGGAACUAGUGGAAGAUUACUGAUGUGUUAUUGAAGGACUCAUUCAAGAGUAA